Long non-coding RNA from Scatophagus argus, 388 nucleotides. RefSeq lists it as uncharacterized. Lineage: Eukaryota; Metazoa; Chordata; Actinopteri; Scatophagidae. The transcript is spliced from 4 exons. The record is from RefSeq and is a predicted model, not a curated record.
UUGUCUUACACGAGGGGCACUGCAGACUGCCGUCCUGAGGAGGAAAACACAACCAGACGGCCUUUUAAACCGGACCGAUCAAUACAAAGCAGAUCUGUUGGUGUGAACAAAAUGGAUCCUCACCUUCAUCCAGCAUGAGAUCUGAGAUUUGAUGCCCCUCUUCCAGAGUGUCUGACGUGCCUUCUUGGCAGCAGCCACUGUCAGCAUCAUCAGUGUAAGAGUCACUCAUCUCCUCAGCCAACUUUCUGGACAACUCGACGACAGCCACAAUCUGUGAGAACACAGUCAGAGGGAGCCUGACAUCUGAGACUCUCCUCGCCACUGAUUGCUUCACGGCUGUACUCGUAAGAAAGAAGCUUCCUGAAGUUUGGCAGCCAAUCAAAAGUGA